GCCGGUGAUGCUCGUCCUGCAGGCAGGCAUUUUCGUGGUACAACUUGGCCACUUGCUGCUCCAGCUCGUCUAUCCUCCUCUUCUGCUUCUCCAGCAGCUCCUGCUGCGUCUCGAUAAUCUUGUUCAGCUCCUUCAGUUGAUGUUCUCAGGGGCUGCACUGGGACGGGAAAUGCUAAUGUUAUGAAUCCAGAGGCACCAACAUCGCUCAUGUAAUGUGCUUUUCAACACCCAAUUCAACAGAAUGGAAAUCUCCCAGAAAGGUGAGGUGGAAGUUCCAGCCUCUGCAGGAGCACCAGAAAGGAUUUACCUACAGGCAAGGAUGGAACUGGAAGAUAAAAGGAGCUCCUUUUGUCCACCAGUGAAAACAGUGCCAAGGGAGUUCCUGCAGCACUCUGGGGGAAGCUGUCCCUGCCCAUGGCAAAUAAAGCCCCUUCCAACCCAAA
Long non-coding RNA from Myiozetetes cayanensis, 443 nucleotides. RefSeq lists it as uncharacterized. The transcript is spliced from 3 exons. Lineage: Eukaryota; Metazoa; Chordata; Aves; Passeriformes; Tyrannidae. The record is from RefSeq and is a predicted model, not a curated record.